UGAGAAGUAGCAGGCUUGGCUUCCUGGUUUUGCGUAAAGUGGUAUGUUAGUUAGCUUUUUAUAAAUGAAAUCCGUGUGACUGACCACUUGGAGACCAGUGUCACCAAGGUCAAAUCUAAGACCUAUUAGGCCUACCUUAAAGGCUCUAGAGUAUGGACCUGAGAUCAGUGCUGUAGGUUGCCUUCAGCUGUGCCUCUGAGAAGGCUUGCUGAUGGCAACUAAUGAAAUGUCUGACUGGAUCUGGCUCUACCCUCUGUUGGUUAGAUUAAUAGCCUUUCUGAAGAGCAUCAAAAGUCAAGGUUGCCCAAGUGUGUCAAGUUCUACAAGCUCUGUGUGCCUACAUACACGUUCUAUGUAUAGUAUGCCAAGAAUGUAACCUCUUGACUGCUCUUUGCAUAGGCCAUGUCUUACGUGUACAUCCUGUGUAUACCUGAAGGAUGAGGCGAUGUCGCAGGAAAAGGAAGCUUGGUACCAGAGUAGAAAAUCUUUAAAAACAUUAUUGUCCUGUACCAGUCAUUGAAUGGUAAAGUCCUUGCCAGUUGCCUCCUGUCUUCUGCUAGUGUUAAUGAAACUACAGCAGUCCACAUGUGUAAACAUGAAGCACCAAUUAGAGGCACUUUAUUCUGAUUCAGAAUCAAAUCUGACUUCGAGUAAAUAUUUGUGGGAUAUAUAACCUAGGUUCAAUUGCUAGCAUCCAUGUGGUGGUUCACAGUUAUCUGUAACUGGUUCAGCAGAUCCAAAGUCCACGGGGACCAGAUAUGCAUGUGGUACACAAGGUGGAAGCAAAAUAUUCACACAUUAAAUAUUUCAGCAUGGA
RNAcentral lists this long non-coding RNA (817 nucleotides) under Rattus norvegicus (Norway rat). Its description in RNAcentral is "long non-coding RNA NONRATT032750". The record is from RNAcentral. Lineage: Eukaryota; Metazoa; Chordata; Mammalia; Rodentia; Muridae.